MicroRNA precursor from Brassica oleracea var. oleracea, 127 nucleotides. It matches the Rfam family "MIR9563 microRNA precursor family". The record is from Rfam. Lineage: Eukaryota; Viridiplantae; Streptophyta; Magnoliopsida; Brassicales; Brassicaceae.
GGAAUAUAAGAACCUGACUCUUAACUUUUAACUAAAAAAACUAAGAACCGGUUCUUAAGUAAGAGUUUUAAGAGACGGUUCUUAGUUUUUUUAGUUAAAAGUUAAGAGACGACGGUUCUUAUAUUCU